UCUAGUCAAGUUUUAGUCGACUAAAAUUCUUGCCAUUUUAGUCUUAUUUUAGUCAGACUUAUCCAUUACUAUUUUAGUCUAGUUUUAGUCGACGAAAACUGAUGACAUUUUAGUCUAGUUUUAGUCAGUGAUAUUGUAUUUAGUCUCUUUUUAGUAAUACAAUUCUAUUUAACCCAUAUAGUAUAAUGACCUAAUAGUAUUAUAGACAAAACAAUAUUUUCUUUUAGCCAAACCCAUUUCAAACAAAAGUUAUAUUGUUACCUUAUAAACCCAAGAAUACAUCCAUUCCAGACAUGGAAGAUGCUCUGAUUUGAAUAGAUAUUUAUUUUACUAUCCUCUGAGUGAGUGACUUGACUGUUCGUAAGAGUCUACAUAAAAGUCUACAUAAUCAAAACAAAAGUAGUCUAAGCAAACACACACACACACACACACACACACACACACACACACACACACACACACACACACACACACACACACACACACACACACACACACAAGGUCAAAUGGGUCACACACAACUAUAGUAUGUGUGAGAAUAGAAAUAUGCUAUUGUUAACAUUUAUAAUUGUAUUUUGACAGCAGCACAAACUACAAUCAUACAUAUGUAAUUAUAUAUUAUUAUAGUUUAUAUUUCUGCAUCUGUACGUUACCACCAGUGUACCUAAUGGACUUUGGCUUAAUCUAAUGUGACAAAGCUGAUCUUAAAUGUCAGUAUAAAUUCAAGCAAUUUUGGAGAAUUACUUAAUGUUUUUCUUGUAAGAAAAUUAAAAGUCAGCUUUAAGAAAACAUCAGAUGUCUAUUAAGAAAAGCAAAGUUGGUAUGUAUGGUUAUGUUCUCAACAGUACAGGUGUUUGAUUGAUUUAAUACUCAAGUAUUCAGCGAAGUAUGUUUUGUUUAUUUAAAUAAUAAAUAAGUGUAGUUAUUAAGCAUAUACAAAACAACGAAUGUCUUUAGCAUAGAUUUACAAUGUUUCAAAACGCAACGCAGCACAAUGUCAUUUAAACAACUGUUACAUGAUAUACAUUUGUACAUUGUUAUACUGGUGGUGUCAGCAAUCAAAGCUAUAGAUUUUAACAGGCUUGUUGAACUGACCUGAAAGUGAUGCACUGGAUUUAUUUUGGACUUUUCUUUUACAUUUGGAGCCAGAAUGCUGCAUCUUCCCGGUCGGAAUCGCCGCGCGGCUACAGCGUUUCUCAUGUAGUGGAAGCGUUUUGUGCAGCAUUUAGUGGAAAUGUGUUUAUCUUCAACAGCGACUGCCAUGAAGAGUCGUGUCCGUAAAAAGGAGAGGAUUUUAGGUGCACGAGCAAGGCUUGUGGACCAUGGGCGAGGCUAGCCCCUUUUUAGGGGUGCUUCAGCACCCCUAAAAAGGAGCUCAGCACCCCUAAAACUUGGAGCAAGAAAUUUAUUUAUUCUAAAAUGUUCGUUCGCCUUUGACAAGGUUAAAUAAUGUCCAAAGCAUACUCCGUAGUUUGUGGUUUAAAAUGUAUAUGUUAAGGUAGAAAAUGAAAACCUUCCCGCUUAGCAAAUGGUGUCAUCCUCUUCUUUUACUUCUCUGUACCAUCGCUUAGCCCGAGCGCGAAACACACGCAGAGAGAGAAUCAGUUAAAAGUGUUGUGAUGCAACUUUUUUGUUCAAAUCUUACAAAAUGUUUACGUUAUGUUUAUAAUGAGCGAGUACAUCACGAAUCAAUCUUUCAAGCCGUGUUUUUGUCUUAUACUGAAUCACCAUGGUACACGUAUAAUAAGUGUUUAUUUUCGGAUUAUUUUAGUCCGGCGGGUACACUACCCGCCCGCUGCGGAGUAGUACAUUAUCUGGGUGACUCGUCCAUAGACUUAAACGGAGAGAAGUAGCGCCGGUUCCAAUGUUCUUCCGCAAGACGCAUGCAGUUUUGUGCGUCUCAGUAAGUAGUUGCAUACGUGUGUCUCCGUUGUUAAAGUUUAUUGUAUGAUUUAUCGUUAAUUUGAGACUUAUUUUAACAAUCGGGAGUCAUGUAAACAUGACGUCACGUGCGUCUUUUCUGGUCAGUCGUCAUGAAAACAUGGCGUUUGGAACAGAGUGAAAACAAACUACAUAUCACUGUAUACCACCAGUACCGGAGAUUUGCUUUACAAGAAGAAAUAAAACAUGAAUGUGACAAACUACUUGACAAGCAAAGACGGAUUUGUAGUUCAGUUAGAGGAGGAAAAUCCUGAUCAUCUGAGACAUCUUUACCUGACUGAAAAAAAACGAUCUGUCCUGAUUCUCCCCUGCUUAUGAUCCACACAUCCAAGGAUGAUGUACAAAACACCUGAAUGUCCAAGAGAAACAGUACUGAUGCUCAGGAGAAAGGACAGCUUUAUUGAAUGAACAUAGAAGAUAAUGAGAAGAUAAAGGAGGAGCUGAGAGGAUAAAGAGAGG
Molecule: long non-coding RNA, 2400 nt
Organism: Paramisgurnus dabryanus
Lineage: Eukaryota; Metazoa; Chordata; Actinopteri; Cypriniformes; Cobitidae
Source: RefSeq, a predicted model, not a curated record